Rhinichthys klamathensis goyatoka is the source of this 674-nucleotide long non-coding RNA. RefSeq lists it as uncharacterized. The record is from RefSeq and is a predicted model, not a curated record. Lineage: Eukaryota; Metazoa; Chordata; Actinopteri; Cypriniformes; Leuciscidae. The transcript has 4 exons.
UCUAUCUAUCUAUGGUAAACAAAUGUGUGUAGGUGUAAACACAAGGGGUGAUCCAGAACUACCAUAACCAUUUUGAUCAAGUCACAUAACCUAAGCUUACUCCAGUGCGCCUGUUUGCCUUAUGAGUGUCUAAAAGUCACUUUAGAUAAAGGUAUAAAAUGACACAUUUGAAUGAAUUUGCUCUUUAGGGACACUGUUAGCACGAGCCCUGGAAAUGGAGGAGUGUCCUACAGGUGGAGAAACUCCUGACCUCAUCUCUGUCCUCAUGUCACCAGGGAAACCAAGCUUGCCAAUGAGGGUGAUGAUGAAUGCCAAGACAACAGCAUGAGGAAACUCUGACCGACGUCAGUGAAAGUGCUAUCCUGGGAUUCUGCAUUCCCUCCUCCUGAUUACAAUUGAAAGACAUACAGUGACAGAUGUGUAUUACAGACAAGUGGGUGUCACUGUUUUUUCAAGGCUGUCUUUAAAUCAUCGAGUCACAACUAAAUCAUAUUCCACACCUGAGUGCCAGGUGUUCUGUUAACAGCGGGAUCACUCACAGCAGGAGCAGAUGUGCAGUGUAUGAGAGUUCACAUCAUCUCACCUGUGUUUCACUGACAGCUGAACAACUGUACUGGACAACACAACACACACUACAGAGUUUGUCACAUGGAGACACAGGCCGAGGUGACAGA